UGACUGGAGUGUCAAAGCUUCGCAGCGUUUAAAAACAAAAGGUUGCUGGUAGGAGGGCCUCUAGCUAUUUUUGAUUUAUUACCUAAUCUUUAGACACUAGAAAUUAACAACAACGAGAAGAAAUGAAAAGGGGCAGUGACUAGCAGAAGCUCCUCAAUGAUGAUUCAUUCAUGUUCUUACUCUGUUGUCCAGGCUAGAGUACAGUGGCACGAUCAUGGCUCACUACAGCCUUAACCUCCCACGUUCAGGUGAUCCUCUUGCCUCAGCCUCCCGAGUAGCUGGGACUACAGGUCAAUUUCAUGAUACUAAAAAACAGCCCAGAGACAUCAGUCUGCAUUGAAUCAAAAUAGUGCUCAAGGAUGUCACAUUCUUAGAAUGAACUCUGAAUAAAACCUACAUUAAAAAUCAGAAUGCAUGGAUUGCUUCACCUUUGAUUAUUCACCUAUUAAUAGAUGCAGAUAUGAAGUAUCACUCAUCGAAGGAGGUUCCAGUCAAAUACGUGAAGACGAAGCAAAUGGACGUUGGCAAUCCUGGUUCUCAGACCUUCAGAUUUGGACUGGGACUUACACCAUUGGCUCCUCUGAUUCUCAGGCCUUCAGAUUUGCACUGGAACCACACCCAACACCACUGGCUUUCCUAGGCUUCCAGCCGGCAGACAGCAGAUCAUGGGACAGCCUCCAUAAUCUAGUGACCGAAUUCUUCAUAAUAAAUAUCUUUCUCUGUA
Pan troglodytes (chimpanzee) is the source of this 724-nucleotide long non-coding RNA. RefSeq lists it as uncharacterized. The record is from RefSeq and is a predicted model, not a curated record. Lineage: Eukaryota; Metazoa; Chordata; Mammalia; Primates; Hominidae. The transcript has 4 exons.